This 205-nucleotide unclassified non-coding RNA is filed under the name plant metagenome. RNAcentral's name for it is "partial contains small subunit ribosomal RNA, internal transcribed spacer 1, and 5.8S ribosomal RNA". The record is from RNAcentral.
GUAGGUGAACCUGCGGAAGGAUCAUUACAGAGUAAUAGCCCCCCUCGGGGGCGAUUCUCCAACCCUUUGUGGAUUAACUCUUGUUGCUUUGGCGUGACCGUGGGGCCCUGCCCCCCGCUGGCCUCGGCGGAUCAGCCCGCGCCCCGUAAAACGGGACGGCCCGCCAGAGGACCCAAACUCUAAUGUUUCUUAUUGUAACUUCUGA